This 418-nucleotide ribosomal RNA is filed under the name uncultured bacterium. RNAcentral's name for it is "bacterial SSU rRNA". It matches the Rfam family "Bacterial small subunit ribosomal RNA", at positions 355 to 787 of the family's 1533-position model. The record is from RNAcentral.
UCGGGAAUAUUGCGCAAUGGAGGAAACUCUGACGCAGUGACGCCGCGUGCAGGAAGAAGGUUUUCGGAUUGUAAACUGCUUUAGACAGGGAAGAAAGAAAUGACGGUACCUGUAGAAUAAGCUCCGGCUAACUACGUGCCAGCAGCCGCGGUAAUACGUAGGGAGCAAGCGUUAUCCGGAUUUAUUGGGUGUGAAGGGUGCGUAGACGGGUAUACAAGUUAGUAGUGAAAUCCCUCGGCUUAACUGAGGAACUGCUACUAAAACUAUAUAUCUUGAGUACUGGAGGGGAAAGCGGAAUUCCUAGUGUAGCGGUGAAAUGCGUAGAUAUUAGGAAGAACACCGGUGGUGAAGGCGGCUUUCUGGACAGAAACUGACGUUGAGGCACGAAAGUGUGGGGAGCAAACAGGAUUAGAUACCC